RNAcentral lists this ribosomal RNA (1249 nucleotides) under Salmonella enterica subsp. enterica serovar Typhi. RNAcentral describes it as "partial 23S ribosomal RNA". It matches the Rfam family "Bacterial large subunit ribosomal RNA", at positions 1487 to 2714 of the family's 2925-position model. Lineage: Bacteria; Pseudomonadati; Pseudomonadota; Gammaproteobacteria; Enterobacterales; Enterobacteriaceae. The record is from RNAcentral.
UUGGCCGGGCGACGGUUGUCCCGGUUUAAGCGUGUAGGUGUGUGUUCCAGGUAAAUCCGGUUCACUUUAACACUGAGGCGUGACGACGAGGCACUACGGUGCUGAAGCAACAAAUGCCCUGCUUCCAGGAAAAGCCUCUAAGCAUCAGGUAACAUCAAAUCGUACCCCAAACCGACACAGGUGGUCAGGUAGAGAAUACCAAGGCGCUUGAGAGAACUCGGGUGAAGGAACUAGGCAAAAUGGUGCCGUAACUUCGGGAGAAGGCACGCUGACACGUAGGUGAAGUGAUUUACUCAUGGAGCUGAAGUCAGUCGAAGAUACCAGCUGGCUGCAACUGUUUAUUAAAAACACAGCACUGUGCAAACACGAAAGUGGACGUAUACGGUGUGACGCCUGCCCGGUGCCGGAAGGUUAAUUGAUGGGGUCAGCGCAAGCGAAGCUCCUGAUCGAAGCCCCGGUAAACGGCGGCCGUAACUAUAACGGUCCUAAGGUAGCGAAAUUCCUUGUCGGGUAAGUUCCGACCUGCACGAAUGGCGUAAUGAUGGCCAGGCUGUCUCCACCCGAGACUCAGUGAAAUUGAACUCGCUGUGAAGAUGCAGUGUACCCGCGGCAAGACGGAAAGACCCCGUGAACCUUUACUAUAGCUUGACACUGAACAUUGAGCCUUGAUGUGUAGGAUAGGUGGGAGGCUUUGAAGUGUGGACGCCAGUCUGCAUGGAGCCGACCUUGAAAUACCACCCUUUAAUGUUUGAUGUUCUAACGUGGACCCGUUACCCGGGUUGCGGACAGUGUCUGGUGGGUAGUUUGACUGGGGCGGUCUCCUCCUAAAGAGUAACGGAGGAGCACGAAGGUUGGCUAAUCCUGGUCGGACAUCAGGAGGUUAGUGCAAUGGCAUAAGCCAGCUUGACUGCGAGCGUGACGGCGCGAGCAGGUGCGAAAGCAGGUCAUAGUGAUCCGGUGGUUCUGAAUGGAAGGGCCAUCGCUCAACGGAUAAAAGGUACUCCGGGGAUAACAGGCUGAUACCGCCCAAGAGUUCAUAUCGACGGCGGUGUUUGGCACCUCGAUGUCGGCUCAUCACAUCCUGGGGCUGAAGUAGGUCCCAAGGGUAUGGCUGUUCGCCAUUUAAAGUGGUACGCGAGCUGGGUUUAGAACGUCGUGAGACAGUUCGGUCCCUAUCUGCCGUGGGCGCUGGAGAACUGAGGGGGGCUGCUCCUAGUACGAGAGGACCGGAGUGGACGCAUCACUGGUG